This 4024-nucleotide long non-coding RNA is filed under the name Anolis carolinensis (green anole). Its description in RNAcentral is "lncRNA (ENSACAG00000035890.1)". The record is from RNAcentral. Lineage: Eukaryota; Metazoa; Chordata; Lepidosauria; Squamata; Anolidae.
CUGAAUUGACUACAGGGGAAAAUAAUUGGGGGAAAGAGCGAUGAGGAAAGUGGGGGAGGAAAUGUCUCCCUCAGAUGCAAAGGCAUUUCCCUUCCCUUCCCUCCCCUUCGCCCCGGCUUACAUUUUCUGCACGGGUUUCCGCCGCUUGCGGCUGGCGUAGGUGACAUUGGGGUUCAUCCUCCUGCUGCUCCCGCUGCUCCCGCCGCGGCUCCAGCGCCUCCGGCCUCAAGAGAUUGUUAUUUGUGUGUGUCAAAUGUAUACGCUUCAAAACACACACACCAAAAGCACCCCACCCCACCCCCCCACCCCCUUUGAGGCCUCCCACCAGCGAGUGGUAAAGGCAGAAUCUCCUCAGAGAAGAAGCAGGUCGCGCGGCCCGGCCUCCUCCGCCCCGCCGUCAAUCCCACUCCAGAGUCCCUUCUUCGGCUGAGAGGAAGGGAGGGAGGAGGGGAGCCAGGUGCUUGGCGCCGGCAACACCCACUCGUCGCCGCCGUCGUCGUCCUCCUCGCUCCGUUUUCGGGGCGGAGAGACAGGUGCGGAGGCGGCCACUCCGUCCCUCCUCCUUCUCCUCAGAGAGAGAGAGAGAAGCCUCCCUUCUCUUCCUUUCCCGUCAGCACAGCCGCCGUCCUCAGGGAGGAAGGAGGGCCUCGCCUCACGCACAGGCGCUCCCUCCGUUUAUUCGCUCUUUCUGCCUCGGUCUCAGCGUCGGGAGCCGAGCCUUCGCUCUCCUUGCAGGCCCGGCCCACCGCCCACCGAGCAGCAGCAGCAGCAGGAGGAGGAGGCCUCGGUGGGGAGGCGCCGGGAGGCGUCAAGGGGGCGGCGCGGCGCCAUGUUGGGAAGAGAUCAAAGAAAGACCUGGCCUUCCUCACUGGUUGGAAAAGCAGACUUCCAUUUGGUCCCAAGCAAGAAAGUCAAGCAACACAUGCCAUAUACUAAUUUCCAGAGGGUUCUUUGAAGAAAAACUCAGUGGAGGAUGGAUGUUUGAUGAGCCCCUUUCCCCAUCCCUCACACAUCCUUCCAAAAUCCAAGACAAAAUUAAAUCUGAAAAACUCCUGGCUCCAAGCAUUUUGGAUAAAGAAGACUCAACCUGUGUUUUUUGCCUUUAAACAAUAUUGGAUGACAACUUGGGCUCUGAAUAAAAGAGUGUUCUAGGCUUGUAUGGAUGGCUGAUGUUCCUUAAUUGUCCCCGAAUGCCUCUUUACCAAGGAAUGCAGACAUUUUUCAUAAGGGGCAGUCAUUUCCUCCAGCAAUAUUAGAUAAUGAAUCUGGCAGUUUCUGUCACUUUGAUAUUUUAUUAUCUAUCUAGACAUACAUUUGGUUUACUUUAUUUACCCAGCAUUUUUUUAAAAAAAUCAGUAUGAAAGUUAUGUUCAUUUUUUGAACAUUUAUCCUAAUAUUUACUAUAUUUUUGAUUGCUACCUUUUGUUUUCUGGGCCUUGCAACUUUGUCUUCAAGGAACUAGACACUUAAAUCAGUCAGGGAAUCAUCUGUAUCAUCCCACACCAUCAUAUUCUUCAGUUUCUUGUUCUCCAUGGGAGCAUCUCUGCAAUGGACUGGACUUUUAAACCUACCAAUAAUCAGCUAUUCUUCCUGCCAUAGGGAUCGCCUUUUCCUGGCAGAGAAACCUCCAGCUAAUCCCUGCACGGAUCCUAGCCAGCCCAUUUAUCAACCAAUCAGAAGGAGGCAUGUGAAGUCGGAAUAGCUGUCAGAGGUGUAUAAAAUGUGUUGUAUUUUUCUAUGAAGUUGUGUUUUUACAUUUUGAGUGUUGGCUUGGUACUUGCACUCCUUUUGGCCAAACUGUAAUAAAUCUGUACUUUGCCUUCAACCCAGAGUGUUUUGUUCUCUGUCCUGGCUGAUCUGGUUUAGUGGAAGCUCACAGGGCACAGACCUUCUUAUCUGCAGUACUGGCUGAAAUCACUUAAUUUCAAUGAUUUUAAGGAUCAUUAAAUAAAGUUGACGUGAAAGAAAUAAUUUCAUAAAAUGUUCCAGAUCAAUUUCAAGAACUAUGGAUUUAAAUGUUCUCACCAGCUGAAUGAACAGCACAUUAAAAAUUAAAUAAAUUGAUAAGUCUCAGAAGUUUUGCUAAAACAAACAAAAACAUUUGAUAUCUUCCUCCCCCCAAAUAAUUUUGUUUUCUCUUUGACAAGUCAGCAAUUUUGUUGGUUAUCACUUUUGAUACAACUGAAUAUAGGAAACAUGCUGAUUGAAAGCUGUACUUGGUUUGAUGUCAGAUCAUGAAGGGGAAUUUUUGAAACGGGAAGAAAGAUUAAGAAAGUGUGAUGGUGGGUAGUAUUUUUACCCUUCACCAGUAUGCUUGAAAAGUACAUUCAUCAAACUUUAUGAAACAAGAAAGAUUGUAGAGCAUGUUGUGGUUUUGAAAAAAAAUUACAGGCAACUUUGUUUCUUUCAACAAGAAAAAGUAUGUUGGCCUCCAUUUCAAAGUUUAAAUGCCCUUUGGUACAUGGACCAUAAUUUAUCAAAAUUACUUGGAUCAGUUUUUAAAAUACAAUGGGAAUGAGCAAAGUAAAUCGCUCAUUGAUGGCAUUGUUCAAAAUCUAACCAGUGUUUUCUUUUAUUUAAAGUAUGGGCCAACAUAACCCUCAACCAUCCCAAUUUGCCUGGGAUAGUCCCAGUUAAUCUGCCAGCUCAAUUUUUCAGCUGCUUUAAAAAUGUCCCAGAUGUUUGCUUAAACACUUUGCUUUUAAUAGAGCUCAUUUUCAAGUAUGUAUGCAGAGGCUCAGCAAAAGUAAUUUGCAAAGUACUUUACAAGUUAUUUCCUCCAAAUCUACAAAAGAAACAAGUAUGCCAUUGUUCAUUUUUUUCUGAUGACAUAGCCAUAGACUAUUUUUGAGAAGAAGGAACUGGCAAAACCACAUCUGAAUAUUCCUUGCCUAAGAAAACCCUAUGAAAUUAUUGGAUCACCAUAAGACACAGGACAGCGUGACACAAAGACAUAACUGAGACUGAGAAGUAUUUGCUCAGUAUUUGAGAAUGGAAAUUUGUGAAUCCAUGCUUCCAAGUUCCCAUUCUGUAUAUUGGGCUAUAGUAAUUUUACAAACGUAAAAAAACAUUAAAAACACUAGUAGGAAUAUUGCACAUGUUUACAGUUAGUACAUAUAAUACAGCUUGCUCAAACUUCAGUUGAAUUUCAGUGGAUUUAAAUAAACAAAGAAUUCAUUUAUCUUUUGCUCAUCAACAUUGAUGCAUUCCUGAGAUUUCUUUUUUCACAGGUAAGAAGCCAGUCUUAGAAACAAUGUUGACAAACCAGGUUUUUUUUCUUUUCAAGAGAAAGAAGAAAUGCCUUUGGGGGCUGGUGACAGACUUCUGCAAAAAAAAAAUCAUGUCUUCUCCAAUGUUUAAGUUAAAGUAGUCAUGUAAUUAAAUGGAAGCUUUACACAAAUGAGAAAGUGUGUGUAGUUUCCAUUUAAUUACAAUACUGCUGUUAAGGAUGUACUCCUUUCCAUGUUUAUUUGGAAUUAACCAUGUGGGUUUUUAUAUCUACUCAGAAAUCUCAUCAAGUUGCAAUAGAAUCUGUUUCUAAAAACAUAUGUCCCACCCAUUUCGUGUUCCACCAGAGGGGAUAAUACAUUAUAGAAGGACAUGGGAGCCUUUUCUUUAUGUCCCACCGUCAGGAAAUACCUUCAACUUAGAAUCCCAACGGGUAUCAAUGUUGGCUUCAUUUUGGUGCCAGAUUAAAACAUAAGCGUUACAUUGGUUCAACCCACUUUACCCCACAAUAAGAUCUGGAAAAUCUUGAACAUUCUCGUAGACCUCCAGGAGUGGCAUCACAGUCACUGUGCAUUAUUGGACCCAUUGAGACAAUGCCUAAGGGUUCCUAACUUAGCCUGGACCCAAACCAUUACUAUUUCAAGUUCAUCUUGUCACUUGUAUGCCUACCCAGAACUUUGUGGAUAAGUUUCAAGGUAUAUGACUGCAGAUACGUCUCUUAUCCCUCCAUACACACACACAAUGAAAGCAGAUGCAUAUGCUUGUAUGGACAACAUCUAAUUAUAGAAAACACAGG